Brassica oleracea var. oleracea is the source of this 354-nucleotide long non-coding RNA. RefSeq lists it as uncharacterized. Lineage: Eukaryota; Viridiplantae; Streptophyta; Magnoliopsida; Brassicales; Brassicaceae. The transcript has 2 exons. The record is from RefSeq and is a predicted model, not a curated record.
UACAAAGGAAAGCAGAAACCCUAGUUUUACACCCAAAGGAAGGACUCAACGGAACAAAAAAUGAUGAUGAAGCACGCGCAAACGAUUUUGGCCAAGGUUAAGCAAGAAUUAUUAUUUCAUUCCGGAUCCCCCUCUCGAUUUCUCCCUAAUCGUGAUUGUAGUAUUGUCUGUUUCGUCGAGAUAUGCAGUAUUGUCGGAAAGGGAUUUCAUCCGUGGCCUCUUCCCCCAUGUCCACGAGGGUCAAGCAUGCUUGGGAGGAGCAGGACAAAUUAGUUCUUGGUUUAGCGUUUCUUGGUGGAUGGUUUAGCAAAGCUCUCAUAAAUGUUUACAAGAGAAGAGAGGAUUGGUAUAGAA